RNAcentral lists this ribosomal RNA (3154 nucleotides) under Triticum aestivum (bread wheat). Its description in RNAcentral is "partial small subunit ribosomal RNA". Lineage: Eukaryota; Viridiplantae; Streptophyta; Magnoliopsida; Poales; Poaceae. The record is from RNAcentral.
GGGUCCCAGUCCUCGCCCCGCUCCCCCCAAAAUCCCAAUCCAGGCUCCUCGGAGAUGUACACGGCAAUCCGCGGAGACGAUGAGGCAGGCCGAGUGAGAUAGAAGCAGCACAGCUUCCGCUUCCGGUCCUCGCCAUCGAUUCGCUCAUGGCCUCCACCUCCUACUGCGCCACUCCAUCUCCGUCCCUACGAUGCUCUGCCGCCUUCUUCCCCACCUUCGCCUCUCCGCCUCCCGCCCUCCGCUUCGCCGUCCCUCCGCUCCUCCCCCGCCGUCUCGCCAUAUCCCCACCGAGAGUUCGAAUUCCGGCGGUGGCGUCAGCGCUGGAGUCCCUAGUGCAGGAGUCCGAUGACGAGGACGAGGAGGACGACGGGUCUGGGCUGUUCAAGGACGAGGCGUGGGCGUCGGCGGACGAGAGGGACGCGGUGCGGUCCCCGGAGCUGGUGGUGCCCGAGCUGGAGGAGCUGCCCGAGCAGUGGCGCCGCUCCAGGAUUGCCUGGCUCUGCAAGGAGCUCCCCGCCUACAAGCACUCCACCUUCACCCGCAUCCUCAACGCCCAGCGCAAGUGGCUCACCCAGGAGGACGCCACCUACGUCGCCGUACACUGCCUCCGCAUCCGCGACAACGACGCCGCCUUCCGGGUGUUUAGCUGGAUGGAGCGGCAGCACUGGUACCGCUUCAACUUUGCGCUUGCCACAAGGGUGGCGGAUUUUCUCGGCAGGGAAGGCAAGGUUGAGAAAUGCCGGGAGAUGUUUGAGGCAAUGGUCAAGCAGGGCCGUGUGCCUGCCGAGUCCACCUUCCACAUACUGACCGUUGCGUACCUCAGUACGCCCAGGGGACGGUGCCUCGAGCACGCUUGCACUAUCUACAACCAGAUGAUACAGAUGGGCGGCUACAAGCCUCGCCUCAGCCUUCACAACUCAUUGUUCCGCGCACUUGUGAGUAAGACAGGAGGAACUGCAAAGCACAACCUCAGGCAGGCUGAGUUUGUCUACCACAAUCUUGUCACCACCAAUCUUGAGGUGCACAAGGAGGUCUAUGCUGGGCUCAUCUGGCUUCACAGCUACCAAGAUGUCAUUGAUAGAGACAGGAUCAUAGCUCUUAGGAAGGAAAUGAAGCAGGCUGGUUUUGAUGAGAGUAUUGAUGUGCUGGUGUCAGUCAUGCGGGCCUUCUCCAAAGAAGGGAGGGUUCAAGAAACAGAGGCAACAUGGCAUGAAAUUCUCCAGAGGGGUUCAGAACUUCCUGCUCAGGCCUAUGUCUGCCGAAUGGAGGUUUAUGCUCGAACUGGUGAGCCUAUGAAAUCCCUGGAUAUAUUCAGAGAAAUGAAGAGGCAAAGUAUACCCCCAAACGUUGCAACUUAUCAUAAGAUAAUUGAGAUAAUGGCAAAUGCUGAGGAGAUAGAUGUUGCGGAACAACUUAUGGAUGAAUUUUCUGAGAGUCAUAUGAAGCAUCUGAUGCCAGCAUUUCUUGCCCUGAUGUACAUGCAUUUGGAUCUUGAUAUGCAUGAGAAAUUAGAAUUAACAUUCUCGAAAUGCCUUGCUAGGUGCCGUCCAAAUAGAAUCUUGUACAUCAUCUAUCUAGAAUCACUGAUAAGGGCUGGAAAUGUCGAGAAAGCUGAGGAGGUCUUCGAUGAAAUGCACAAAAAAGGGACGAUAGGUACUAAUGCAAAAUCUUGCAACAUCAUGCUAAGAGGUUAUAUUUCUGCAGAAGACUAUCAGAAAGCUGAAAAGGUUUAUGAUAUGAUGUGUAAAAAGAAGUAUGAUGUACAAGAGGAUUUGUUGGAAGAACUUCAGACUGGCCUCCGUCUUGGUAAGAAAGUCGCUGUUAAGCCAAAACCCGUGAGCAUCAAAUUGGAUCAAGAGCAGCGUGAGAUUUUGAUUGGUUUGCUUCUGGGAGGCACACAGAUUGAAUCUCAUGCACAGAGAGGGGUCCAUAUUGUCCAUUUUAAGUUCCAGGAAGAUUCUGAUGCCCAUUCGGUCUUAAGGGUGCACAUUCAUGAGCGUUUCUUUGAAUGGCUGACUUCAGCAAGCAGAUCAUUUGAGGAUGAGAGCAAGAUACCUUAUGAGUUCUCAACCAUACCUCAUUUACAUUUCGGUUUCUUUGCUGACCAGUUCUUUCUAAAAGGCCAGCCUGUUCUCCCAAAGCUUAUCCACAGGUGGUUAUCUCCACGUGUUCUAGCGUAUUGGUUCAUGUUUGGAGGCCUCAAACUCUCGUCAGGUGAUAUCGUUCUCAAGGUCAGUGGUGGGAACAGUGAGGGUGUUGAAAGAAUUGUAAACUCCUUGCAUGCACAGUCCUUACCUAGUAAAGUGAAGAGGAAAGGGCAAUUCUUCUGGAUAGGUUUUCAGGGGAGCAAUGCCGAUUCUUUCUGGAAAGUUAUAGAACCUUAUGUAUUGGACGGUUUCUUGGGUUUGACAACACAGGAAAGCGGCACCGCAGGUUCUGGUGAUGACCAAGAAACUGAUACUGAUUCUGAUGAUGAUGCUCAUAAGUAUGGAAGUGAAGAGUGAAUACCAGGGAGCAGGAGAUGUCUGGUGACAGGAGGUACUUCAUCAACGUCAAGUUCUUGCUGCGAACAGAUGUGCUAUAUUUUAGUGGUUUGGUGGUAGAGCUUGAAAAGUCUCCAAGUGGCGGUUUUCGCUUGUAAAGUGGAAAAGUGAACCGGGGCUCUGCCCUUAUAGCCUGCAACGUAGACUGAAGACAAUAUUCAGGAAGUAGUUCAUUAUAAUCUGAACAUCGGAAGGAACACAACUUCACAAGCCUACAGAUUGAUCAGGGUUUUGUUACGUAUACUUUUACUUUGUUGUUCACCUUCUUAGUACAGUAAGUACUAACAACAUGUUGCCCGUAUUGAUCUACCCCCUCCAUAAAAAGUAGUGAUCUAAACACUCUUAUAUUUCUUUACAGAGGGAGUACCUAUGUAGCCAUCUGCAUGAUAGAUUUGCACACUAGACUAGACAGAAAAUUUGUGGAUUUCUGUCGACCACUUACAGUACGUUAUAUGUUGUGCAUUUAAUCACCUGUUCUCAUUUGCCAAAUCUUUUUUUUAUUUCUUUGUGAAAUUUUCAUGGAUUGUCGCUAAUGGCAGUACAUAAUAAGCUGUAAAAACAUAUAUUUGUCCCAUGAUGUCUGGCAGCAAAAAAAAAACAUUUACCCUUCC